GACGAACGCUGGCGGCGUGCUUAGCACAUGCAAGUCGAACGGAAAGGCCCUGCUUUUGUGGGGUGCUCGAGUGGCGAACGGGUGAGUAACACGUGAGUAACCUGCCCUUGACUUUGGGAUAACUUCAGGAAACUGGGGCUAAUACCGGAUAGGAGCUCCUGCUGCAUGGUGGGGGUUGGAGAGUUUCGGCGGUUGGGGAUGGACUCGCGGCUUAUCAGCUUGUUGGUGGGGUAGUGGCUUACCAAGGCUUUGACGGGUAGCCGGCCUGAGAGGGUGACCGGCCACAUUGGGACUGAGAUACGGCCCAGACUCCUACGGGAGGCAGCAGUGGGGAAUAUUGCACAAUGGGCGGAAGCCUGAUGCAGCAACGCCGCGUGCGGGAUGACGGCCUUCGGGUUGUAAACCGCUUUCGCCUGUGACGAAGCGUGAGUGACGGUAAUGGGUAAAGAAGCACCGGCUAACUACGUGCCAGCAGCCGCGGUGAUACGUAGGGUGCGAGCGUUGUCCGGAUUUAUUGGGCGUAAAGGGCUCGUAGGUGGUUGAUCGCGUCGGAAGUGUAAUCUUGGGGCUUAACCCUGAGCGUGCUUUCGAUACGGGUUGACUUGAGGAAGGUAGGGGAGAAUGGAGUUCCUGGUGGAGCGGUGGAAUGCGCAGAUAUCAGGAGGAACACCAGUGGCGAAGGCGGUUCUCUGGGCCUUUCCUGACGCUGAGGAGCGAAAGCGUGGGGAGCGAACAGGCUUAGAUACCCUGGUAGUCCACGCUGUAAACGGUGGGUACUAGGUGUGGGGUCCAUUCCACGGGUUCCGUGCCGUAGCUAACGCUUUAAGUACCCCGCCUGGGGAGUACGGCCGCAAGGCUAAAACUCAAAGGAAUUGACGGGGCCCCGCACAAGCGGCGGAGCAUGCGGAUUAAUUCGAUGCAACGCGUAGAACCUUACCUGGGUUUGACAUGGAUCGGGAGUGCUCAGAGAUGGGCGUGCCUCUUUUGGGGUCGGUUCACAGGUGGUGCAUGGCUGUCGUCAGCUCGUGUCGUGAGAUGUUGGGUUAAGUCCCGCAACGAGCGCAACCCUUGUUCACUGUUGCCAGCACGUUAUGGUGGGGACUCAGUGGAGACCGCCGGGGUCAACUCGGAGGAAGGUGGGGAUGACGUCAAGUCAUCAUGCCCCUUAUGUCCAGGGCUUCACGCAUGCUACAAUGGCUGGUACAGAGAGUGGCGAGCCUGUGAGGGUGAGCGAAUCUCGGAAAGCCGGUCUCAGUUCGGAUUGGGGUCUGCAACUCGACCUCAUGAAGUCGGAGUCGCUAGUAAUCGCAGAUCAGCAACGCUGCGGUGAAUACGUUCCCGGG
Molecule: ribosomal RNA, 1343 nt
Filed under: uncultured bacterium
Lineage: Bacteria
Description: 16S ribosomal RNA
Rfam family: Bacterial small subunit ribosomal RNA
Source: RNAcentral